CUUUCUUUUUGGUUUAGAGAAGCCCUUUCAAUAUUUCCUUUAACCUGGGUUUUGUGUUGCUGUAUUCUUUAAGUUUUUGUUUGUUGGGAAAAAUUUUUAUUUCCCCUUCUAUUUUAAAUGAUAUUCUUGCUGGAUAGAGUAUUCUAGGUUGCAUAUUUUUUCCUUUUAGCACUUUAAAUAUCUCUUGCCAUUCCCUCCUGGCCUGUAGUGUUUCUGUAGAGAAAUCAGCUGAUAAUCUUAUGGGGGUUCCCUUGUAGGUAACAUUCUGCUUUUCUCUUGCUGCCUUUAGGAUCCUCUCUUUAUCACUAACUUUUGCCAUUUUUAUUAUGAUGUGUCUUGGUGUGGGUCUAUUUGGGUUCAAUUUGUUUGGGGCCCUCUGUGCUUCCUGUAUCUUGAGCUCAGUAUCCUUUAGAUUUGGGAAGUUUCCAGGGAUAAUUUCUUCAAGUAUAUUUUCCAUCCCCUUAUCUUUUUCUACUCCUUCUGGAAUUCCUAUUAUGUGUAGAUUGGCCCGCUUUAUAUUAUCCCAUAGGUCUCUUAUAUUGCUUUCCUGUUUUUUGAUUCGGUUUUCUGUCUGCUGACCUGAUUGGGUGAUUUCCAUUAUUCUAUCUUCCAUAUCACUGAUUCGUUCUUCUGCAUUAUUCAUUCUGGUUUUUACUGCCCCUAGUUCAGUUUGCAUCUCUGCAAAUGAAUGUUCUAGUUUUUCUUGGCUCCUCCUUAUAUUUUCUAGUUCCUUUCUGAGGGUAUCUGCAUUACUGUUCAUAUCUUCUCUUAAUUCCUUCAGUAUUUUCACUAUUUCUCUUUUGAACUCCAGGUCUGUCAGACUGCAGAGAUCUGUUUCAUUGUUGACUGUUUUAGGUGAGUUCUCCUGUUGGUUUGACUGGGGGUGGUUUCUCAGCUUCUUCAUCUUGCUUGUUGUUUUCUUUCUCCUGAGGGAGUUGUACUCUCCGUGAUUGGGCAGUGUUUGCCUUGUCACUGCCGUGGAAUAUUUCCUGAGGGCUGGCGUUGUUGGUCAGUCUUUUUUGAGGCAGUGUGGCUUUUCUGGAGUGUUGAUGGGGCUAACAGGGUCUCUUUGAAGCAAAGGAGGACUUCCUGAGGGCAGACAGGACUGGGAGGUCCACACCACGAUGGUAGCAGAUUUCACUUGGUCAUGCAGAGCUUGCUCUGGUGUUUUUAGGCUGUGGGGUUCUUGCAGGGGGUUGGCGGUGUUGGGCAGCUGUUCGUCAGGGGUGCAGCACCCCCUGGGGGCUGGAGCAGCUAUCUGGGUCACUGAGAACCCAAGAGGCUCUUCCUAGGGCAGCCCAAUUCAGAAGGACGGUCUGAGAAUGUAGGCAGAUCUUUUCACAGUCUGACCAAGCUUGUUGUAGCUUUUCUGGGCUGCAGGGGUUCUGUGCUGUUGCUCUGCGGAUGUGCAGCUCCUCCCGAGACCUGGAGCAGCUACCUGUCCUGCUGCGAACCCAAGAUGCUUUUCCCCAGGGCAGGCCAACUCGAAAAGACGGUCCGAGAAUUAGGCAGAUCUUUUCACGGCCUGGCUAGGCUUGUUCUAGCUUUUCUGGGCCGCAGGCCUUUUCUCCAGGGCUGGUGGUGUUUGGUGCUGCUCUGCGGGGGUGUAGCCCCUCCAAAGGGCAAGCAGGCCUGUGCAGGGACAGCCCCUGUGGUGGUAGACUUCAGGCAGUUGUUGAGGCCAGCCCUCCCAGAUGGCAGGCAGCCCCAGGUCCGGCGAGUGUGUAGAGGGUGGUGGGGGUGGGGGGAGGGGAUGCACUGGGAAGCACAGCUUUCUGCUAGCUAGUGGGCCAGUAAGCUUGCUGUGGCAUGGGGAGUAUUCUAUGGGGACCCACCCCUUCUUCUCUCCCCUCCCCAGCACGGGCGCAGACUAGGCUCUUCUCCCAGGUUCCCUCUGAUGUGGCUUUCCACUUCCCCACCCCUAGAGUAUUGCUCCCUUCCCCUGCGACAGCUAUGCUUUCUAGUCUCCCAGGCAGUCUCUGCCCCGUCAAACUUGACAGACUGGUUUCUAGACCUCCCAAGCAGUCUCUGCUCCGCCCCGCCCCCCCCCCCAGCCCUUUCCCGGGGACUAACCUCCGGAGCCACCGAGGUCUCGGUGCCCAGCCCCCACCCAGGCGUCUCAAUUUUUGGUGACUGUGCCCAUAGUUUAGAUGGUGCAUUCAGUUCUCGAUCUGCUUUUCAGAACUCCAACUUACUGCUACACUCCUCCCUGCAUCUGGAGAUUCCUCCGGUUUGUUUGAUCUUUCCCCUGAGUAGGUGACUUUCCAGGGUGCAGGAUCCCUUUCUCUUCCACGGUUCCCUUUCGGAAGUGCCCAUCCAGCUCAGAUUUACCUUCUCUCACUCUCCUCUUUUCUCUUGUUUUACCUAAUAAUGUCACAAACUUCUUGCCGUUAUUGGAGUUUAGGUUUCUCUGCCAGCAAUUGGUUGCUGUUCUGUGUGAGUCAUUUAUCCUGUAGAUGUGGGGUUUUUUUGUUGUGUUUGUGGGAGAGGGUGAGUGUGUCCCCCUACUCUUCCACCAUCUUGUC
This 2525-nucleotide long non-coding RNA is filed under the name Sus scrofa (pig). Its description in RNAcentral is "lncRNA (ENSSSCG00055027597.1)". The record is from RNAcentral. Lineage: Eukaryota; Metazoa; Chordata; Mammalia; Artiodactyla; Suidae.